RNAcentral lists this transfer RNA (91 nucleotides) under Methylophaga frappieri. Its description in RNAcentral is "tRNA-Ser (GGA) (tRNA-Ser-GGA-1-1)". It matches the Rfam family "tRNA". From Rfam's summary of the family: Transfer RNA (tRNA) molecules are approximately 80 nucleotides in length. Their secondary structure includes four short double-helical elements and three loops (D, anti-codon, and T loops). The record is from RNAcentral. Lineage: Bacteria; Pseudomonadati; Pseudomonadota; Gammaproteobacteria; Thiotrichales; Piscirickettsiaceae. RNAcentral also lists the same sequence under 5 other names.
GGAGAAGUGGCCGAGUGGUUGAAGGCGCACGCCUGGAAAGUGUGUAUAGGUUAAUAGCCUAUCGAGGGUUCGAAUCCCUCCUUCUCCGCCA